CUUUCAACAACGGAUCUCUUGGUUCUGGCAUCGAUGAAGAACGCAGCGAAAUGCGAUAAGUAAUGUGAAUUGCAGAAUUCAGUGAAUCAUCGAAUCUUUGAACGCACAUUGCGCCCCUCGGCAUUCCGGGGGGCAUGCCUGUUCGAGCGUCA
RNAcentral lists this ribosomal RNA (152 nucleotides) under Cladonia sulphurina. RNAcentral's name for it is "5.8S ribosomal RNA". It matches the Rfam family "5.8S ribosomal RNA". From Rfam's summary of the family: 5.8S ribosomal RNA (5.8S rRNA) is a component of the large subunit of the eukaryotic ribosome. It is transcribed by RNA polymerase I as part of the 45S precursor that also contains 18S and 28S rRNA. The record is from RNAcentral. Lineage: Eukaryota; Fungi; Ascomycota; Lecanoromycetes; Lecanorales; Cladoniaceae. RNAcentral also lists the same sequence under 5 other names.